RNAcentral lists this signal recognition particle RNA (299 nucleotides) under Aotus nancymaae (Ma's night monkey). Its description in RNAcentral is "Metazoan signal recognition particle RNA (ENSANAG00000003486.1)". It matches the Rfam family "Metazoan signal recognition particle RNA". From Rfam's summary of the family: The signal recognition particle (SRP) is a universally conserved ribonucleoprotein. The record is from RNAcentral. Lineage: Eukaryota; Metazoa; Chordata; Mammalia; Primates; Aotidae.
GCCAGGUGUGGUGGUGCAUGCCUAUAGUCCCAGCUACUUGGGAGGCUGAGGUGGGAGGAUUGAUUGAGCCCAGGAGUUCUGGGCUGUAGUCCGCUAUGCCGAUCGGGUGUUUGCACUAAGUUCGGCAUCAAUGUGGUGACCUUCCGGGAGUAGGGGACCACCAGGUUGCCUAAGGAGGGGUGAACCGUCCCAGGUUGGAAACGGAGCAGGUCAAAAUUCCCGUGCUGAUCAGUAGUGGGAUCGUGCCUGUGAAUAGCCACUGCACUUCAGCCUGGGCAACACAGUGAAAUCCCGUCUCU